This 209-nucleotide unclassified non-coding RNA is filed under the name Hevea brasiliensis (rubber tree). The record is from RNAcentral. Lineage: Eukaryota; Viridiplantae; Streptophyta; Magnoliopsida; Malpighiales; Euphorbiaceae.
GGUUGGGUUAUAAAACUAAAUGGUAUCUGGUGGCAAAAUUAUAACUUGUUAUAUUGUUAAUUAUAUUGCUACUAAUCCUAACCACUUCCAGUGUAUCAUAUUCCUAAAGGAAAUAUUAAUUAUCAUGUACCCCUUGAAUAAAUAAAUGGCUUGUAGCUCCCUAGUCUUCAUUGUUUCGGGCAAAGAAAAGUAAUUCCAUCUUUCAGAGC